This is a non-coding RNA of Camellia sinensis, 2805 nucleotides long. The record is from RefSeq and is a predicted model, not a curated record. NCBI's taxonomy places the organism in Eukaryota, Viridiplantae, Streptophyta, Magnoliopsida, Ericales, Theaceae.
UAUUGGUAGUUUUCGUCUGCUUGCAUUUGCCUCACACCCUUAGAUGAGUAACACAAUCUCUCACAUGGAGACAGAACCGGAUAGAGCGAAACGGUGCACAAUAACAAACACAAAUUAUGAGACUUAAACUAAGCAAACAUAAAGGACCUGCUGAAGUGUUGCAUUCAAUCAUUUAUUAUCCCAAAAGCUUAAGAUGCUAGGAAAUAAGUCUCUAACAAAUAUAUGCCAAGUUAUCUAACAGAAACUCUCUCUCCCUUUGAAGCAUAGCCAACACAAGUCUGAAUAAUCCUACACAAGCACGUAUAGUACAGCUCUGCUAAUACAAGAAGUUCUUGAUACUUUUGAGGAAAAUUAAGCAAAUGCAGAGCAUCAAGUGCUGUUUUGAUAUUUUCAUCAUUCUGGGAGUUUUUUUCUCUGAUGGCUUUCUUGUAAUCACGUUUAUAUAUAUAUUUUUUUUCUAGAAAUUGUCUUGCUUUCGUGCUUGCUUAUAUGUGUGUGAAAAUAAAAUACUACGAACACUGACAGGGAAUGCCAGACUCUACAAAGCACACUAAAUAAAGGCGAUAAUCAACUCUGCUAUACUUAUUAUUUAAGCACAUGACAAUAGCAGACCAAGUCUCCACUUGCACAUUUUUAACAACAAGAACAAAAAAAAAAAAAGUGAAGAAAUUAUCACUCAGAAGAUACACCACUUAUUGUGCCUAGAAGUGCAACCAUUCAUGAUUAGAUCUAUGAGAAAAGGUCAACCGCUAUACUUAAGCUAAAGCCUGAUCUACCCUAUCCAUGUGAACCUAGACAUUGUAAAAAUCCAACAAAAAAUCAACUUUGGUAUCAACUCUCUUAUAGAACUACUUUAAUGUCUACCAUUAGUUUCUUCUAGUGAAGUGAAUAUCAUAAUGAAUGAACCAUCAAAUGGCUUGCUGUUUUCUACUCAAUAUUAUCAUAUUGUCCUCUUUUAUUUUGCCUGUUCUUGCUAGUGAAGACAGAGUGAGAGCAGGCGAAUCAAUCAGCAUUAACCAAACCUUAACUUCAGCUGGGGGAAUUUUGCAUUAGGCUUCUUCAAUCCAGGCAAUUUUACGAACAGAUACCUUGGCAUAUGGUACAAAACAAUCUCCGAACAAACAGUGAUAUGGGUAGCUAAUAGAGACAACCUGCUUGCUAAUAAUUCCCACGGUGUUUUUGGGCUUGGUGAUGAUGGGAAUCUUGUGUUUUUCGAUGGAACAAAAAGAGUUGUUUGGUCAUCAAAUGCAACAACUGCCAAUUUGGCCAUGAACUCCACAAUUGCAGUGCUGUUAGAUUCUGGAAACUGUGCUAUGGCAGAGUUUUGAUCAUCCAACUGAUACAUUCAUGCCUGGCAUGAGACUUGGGUUGGAUAGGCAAAUGCGCUGGCAAAGCCUUCUAUACUCAUGGACAGACAAUGCAGAUCCUCAGCCAGGAAUGUUCUCCGAAGGUAUAGAUCCAGAAGGGCGUCCAGGAAUUUUCAUUUGGAAGCAACAUGAUCCAUAUUGGAGAAGCAGUGUGUAUGACUAUAGUUUGUCUUAUGUAGGAUAUAAAUCUCAAGAGUUUGCCUCCUACUUCACUUUCAUUGCAGAAGGUGAUGAAAUUUAUCUAACUUUCAGUGUCUCAGAAAACUUGAUUAAUAUAAGAGCCAUGUUAACUCCUAGAGGGCAAGCUGAGCUGCUGUUAUGGGAGCAAAGUAACAAUUCAUGGGUAUUUUUAUGGCAGGUUCCAUUAGUUAAAUGUGAUUUUUAUGGGUAUUGUGUUCCAUUUAGUAGCUGUGGUGAAAAUGGUUUGCAUAAAUUUUGCCGUUGUUUGGAGGGUUUUGAGCCCAAAGAUCAGAAGGAAUGGAAACUUGGAAAUUGGACAGGAGGCUGAACCAGGAGAAUGGCACGAACAUGUGAUAUAGGAGAUCCGUUUUCUAAGUUAGAAAGGAUGAAAUUACCUGAUUAUUCAAUCUCUCUGGGAAAUAUGACUACUGUUAGUCAAUGUGAAUUAGAAUGUAGUAAGAACUGCACUUGCGCGGCUUAUGCGUAUACUAAUGUGAGCAGUGAAGCAGUGAGCUGUAUGCAUUGGUUUGGGGAUAUCAUGGACCUAAAGGGUAAUGACAUCAAUGGCGAAGAUCUUUAUGUCCGCAUUCAUGACUCUGAUCAAGUUGGUAAUGGUAAGUUGACACAUAAAAGUAGAAGUGUCAUUGCAAUUGCAGCAGCUGCCAUCUCUACUGGAUUGCUUCUUAUUUGCGGCUUUGGCUAUGUCUUGAGGAGAUGGAUGAGAAGCUGAGGGAGGGUAGAUCGAAGUGCACAUGAGCUUGAUGCCAACUCUAAAGCAUCGGUUGAUGAUUCAAAUAAUGGAGAAUUGUUGUCAUUCAGUUUGAGAAGUAUAUUAGCUGCUACUGACAACUUUUCUGAAGCAAACAAACUUGGAGAGGGUGGGUAUGGCCUUGUUUGUAAGAUAACACAUUUCCAUAAUUGUGACAUAUAUUCAAGUACUGGGAGUUGUGAAAAAUUCUUACAUUUCAUCCUUUUUCUUUUCUUUUUUAAAUUCUGGGGUAUUUGCCUGAAGUGCAAGAAGUAGCCAUAAAAAAGCAAUCAAAAACAUCAUUACAAGGAACAGUAAGAGUUUAUGAAUGAGUUGAAAUUUAUUGCCAAACUCCAACCUAAAAAUCUUGUCAGCCUUUUGGGUUACUGUGUUGAACAAGAGGAAAAGACACUGAUCUACAAGUAUAUGUGCAAUGGAAGCCUGGACAAAUUGCUAUUUUGUACACACGUUUACCUCUUUUCUGAAACUUCUGAUAGACAAUUUCUAUAA